Molecule: long non-coding RNA, 872 nt
Organism: Cygnus olor (mute swan)
Lineage: Eukaryota; Metazoa; Chordata; Aves; Anseriformes; Anatidae
Exons: 3
Source: RefSeq, a predicted model, not a curated record
UUCAUUUGGAACUACUCGGAAAUCUGAGAGUACUGUAUCAGCUGGAUCUUCUUUGUCCACCUGCUUCCUGAUGCUUUCACUGAACUUAAAAAUCUAUGACGUGUGACUCCCCUUUGACAAAAGCUAUCAUGAUUUUAUUUUGGAAUGUAAUAUUGCACAUCCUAGUAGUUAAACAGUUAACGAGAACUUGCAAAAAUUUGUCCUGCUGCAAUGUGCCGUUACUAAUCUCUGAAUAGAAGGUUGGACUUAGACCUAUCAUCUUCGUAUCAGAGAAGAGUCUGCGGAGGAUCCACUGUCAUUGUGCCCUCUGCUGCAGAUUUGUUUGUGUCUCUUAACUGCAGUGCAACCUGAGAGUAGUUGCUCAAGCAGCCCUUCCCACCACCUCUGCUUUCAGAGCUCCUGACACCAAACGGAUUUCAUCUGAUAUUUAAAGCCUCUCUAAGUCCUCUGUUGUCAGUACAUAUGAAAUGAAGGGAUGAAAAAAGAUAACAAACAUGCUGAAGAGCAUCUUUCCAGUGAAUGAACAGUGAAGCAAUAAAUUACGUGGUAAAUGCAGCACAGUAUAGUAUCCUGCUCGUGCUGUGUAAUUUUUGAUUGUAGUAGGUGAUGGUGUGCAUGCGCAAAUAGGGCAAGGCUGAAACACUAGCUGUACCUCAGCGUGCAUUUUCAGGGAGAAUAAGUGCUGUGUUGAUUUACUGGACUUAAUUCUGUUUCUGAAGGAAAAAGAAUUACAAAAAUGCUGUAAUUUAGGAAGGUGAACAGGUACAUGAAUUUCUUCAAUUGGUACCAAGGUCUACCAUUUUUUCUAAGUAAUAAGUGCCAUUAAUACAUUCAGUACUGCAGAAUUUUUUGCUCUUUGCCUCAUGAGGAUG